This 1461-nucleotide ribosomal RNA is filed under the name Staphylococcus epidermidis. RNAcentral's name for it is "partial 23S ribosomal RNA". It matches the Rfam family "Bacterial large subunit ribosomal RNA", at positions 1 to 1463 of the family's 2925-position model. Lineage: Bacteria; Bacillati; Bacillota; Bacilli; Caryophanales; Staphylococcaceae. The record is from RNAcentral.
AGAUUAAGUUAUUAAGGGCGCACGGUGGAUGCCUUGGCACUAGAAGCCGAUGAAGGACGUUACUAACGACGAUAUGCUUUGGGUAGCUGUAAGUAAGCGUUGAUCCAGAGAUUUCCGAAUGGGGGAACCCAGCAUGAGUUAUGUCAUGUUAUCGACAUGUGAAUUCAUAGCAUGUCAGAAGGCAGACCCGGAGAACUGAAACAUCUUAGUACCCGGAGGAAGAGAAAGAAAAAUCGAUUCCCUGAGUAGCGGCGAGCGAAACGGGAAGAGCCCAAACCAACAAGCUUGCUUGUUGGGGUUGUAGGACACUCUAUACGGAGUUACAAAAGAACAUGUUAGACGAAUCAUCUGGAAAGAUGAAUCAAAGAAGGUAAUAAUCCUGUAGUCGAAAACAUAUUCUCUCUUGAGUGGAUCCUGAGUACGACGGAGCACGUGAAAUUCCGUCGGAAUCUGGGAGGACCAUCUCCUAAGGCUAAAUACUCUCUAGUGACCGAUAGUGAACCAGUACCGUGAGGGAAAGGUGAAAAGUACCCCGGAAGGGGAGUGAAAGAGAACUUGAAACCGUGUGCUUACAAGUAGUCAGAGCCCGUUAAUGGGUGAUGGCGUGCCUUUUGUAGAAUGAACCGGCGAGUUACGAUCUGAUGCAAGGUUAAGCAGCAAAUGUGGAGCCGCAGCGAAAGCGAGUCUGAAUAGGGCGUUGAGUAUUUGGUCGUAGACCCGAAACCAGGUGAUCUACCCUUGGUCAGGUUGAAGUUCAGGUAACACUGAAUGGAGGACCGAACCGACUUACGUUGAAAAGUGAGCGGAUGAACUGAGGGUAGCGGAGAAAUUCCAAUCGAACUUGGAGAUAGCUGGUUCUCUCCGAAAUAGCUUUAGGGCUAGCCUCAAGUGAUGAUUAUUGGAGGUAGAGCACUGUUUGGACGAGGGGCCCCUCUCGGGUUACCGAAUUCAGACAAACUCCGAAUGCCAAUUAAUUUAACUUGGGAGUCAGAACAUGGGUGAUAAGGUCCGUGUUCGAAAGGGAAACAGCCCAGACCACCAGCUAAGGUCCCAAAAUAUAUGUUAAGUGGAAAAGGAUGUGGCGUUGCCCAGACAACUAGGAUGUUGGCUUAGAAGCAGCCAUCAUUUAAAGAGUGCGUAAUAGCUCACUAGUCGAGUGACACUGCGCCGAAAAUGUACCGGGGCUAAACAUAUUACCGAAGCUGUGGAUUGUCCUUUGGACAAUGGUAGGAGAGCGUUCUAAGGGCGUCGAAGCAUGAUCGCAAGGACAUGUGGAGCGCUUAGAAGUGAGAAUGCCGGUGUGAGUAGCGAAAGACGGGUGAGAAUCCCGUCCACCGAUUGACUAAGGUUUCCAGAGGAAGGCUCGUCCGCUCUGGGUUAGUCGGGUCCUAAGCUGAGGCCGACAGGCGUAGGCGAUGGAUAACAGGUUGAUAUUCCUGUACCACCUAGUAUCGUUUUAAU